RNAcentral lists this ribosomal RNA (1342 nucleotides) under uncultured bacterium. Its description in RNAcentral is "bacterial SSU rRNA". It matches the Rfam family "Bacterial small subunit ribosomal RNA", at positions 28 to 1381 of the family's 1533-position model. The record is from RNAcentral.
GAUGAACGCUGGCGGCGUGCUUAACACAUGCAAGUCGAACGAUGAAGCUCAGCUUGCUGGGUGGAUUAGUGGCGAACGGGUGAGUAACACGUGAGUAACCUGCCCUUAACUCUGGGAUAAGCCUGGGAAACUAGGUCUAAUACCGGAUAGGAGCGCCUACCGCAUGGUGGGUGUUGGAAAGAUUUAUCGGUUUUGGAUGGACUCGCGGCCUAUCAGCUUGUUGGUGAGGUAAUGGCUCACCAAGGCGACGACGGGUAGCCGGCCUGAGAGGGUGACCGGCCACACUGGGACUGAGACACGGCCCAGACUCCUACGGGAGGCAGCAGUGGGGAAUAUUGCACAAUGGGCGAAAGCCUGAUGCAGCGACGCCGCGUGAGGGAUGACGGCCUUCGGGUUGUAAACCCCUUUCAGUAGGGAAGAAGCGAAAGUGACGGUACCUGCAGAAGAAGCACCGGCUAACUACGUGCCAGCAGCCGCGGUAAUACGUAGGGUGCGAGCGUUAUCCGGAAUAUUGGGCGUNAAGAGCUCGUAGGCGGUUUGUCGCGUCUGUCGUGAAAGUCCGGGGCUUAACCCCGGAUCUGCGGUGGGUACGGGCAGACUAGAGUGCAGUAGGGGAAACUGGAAUUCCUGGUGUAGCGGUGGAAUGCGCAGAUAUCAGGAGGAACACCGAUGGCGAAGGCAGGUCUCUGGGCUGUAACUGACGCUGAGGAGCGAAAGCAUGGGGAGCGAACAGGAUUAGAUACCCUGGUAGUCCAUGCCGUAAACGUUGGGCACUAGGUGUGGGGACCAUUCCACGGUUUCCGCGCCGCAGCUAACGCAUUAAGUGCCCCGCCUGGGGAGUACGGCCGCAAGGCUAAAACUCAAAGGAAUUGACGGGGGCCCGCACAAGCGGCGGAGCAUGCGGAUUAAUUCGAUGCAACGCGAAGAACCUUACCAAGGCUUGACAUGUUCUCGAUCGCCGUAGAGAUACGGUUUCCCCUUUGGGGCGGGUUCACAGGUGGUGCAUGGUUGUCGUCAGCUCGUGUCGUGAGAUGUUGGGUUAAGUCCCGCAACGAGCGCAACCCUCGUUCCAUGUUGCCAGCACGUAAUGGUGGGGACUCAUGGGAGACUGCCGGGGUCAACUCGGAGGAAGGUGAGGACGACGUCAAAUCAUCAUGCCCCUUAUGUCUUGGGCUUCACGCAUGCUACAAUGGCCGGUACAAUGGGUUGCGAUACUGUGAGGUGGAGCUAAUCCCAAAAAGCCGGUCUCAGUUCGGAUUGGGGUCUGCAACUCGACCCCAUGAAGUCGGAGUCGCUAGUAAUCGCAGAUCAGCAACGCUGCGGUGAAUACGUUCCCGGGCCU